CCUACGUGUGGCAGCAGUAGGGAAUAUUGCUCAAUGGGGGCAACCCUGAAGCAGCAACGCCGCGUGGAGGAUGAAGGUUUUCUGAGUGUAAACUCCUUUUGAUAGAGAAGAGAAUGACGGUAUCUAACGAAUAAGCACCGGCUAACUCCGUGCAAGCAGCCGCGGUACGACGGAGGGAGCAAGCGUUACUCGGAAUCACUGGGCGUAAAGAGUGCGUAGGCGGUCUCGAAAGUCAGAUGUGAAAUCCUAUGGCUUAACCAUAGAACUGCAUGUGAAACUGUUAUUCUAGAGUAUGGGUGCGGUAGGUGGAAUUCUUGGUGUAGCGGUCACCUCCUUAGACAUCAUG
RNAcentral lists this ribosomal RNA (346 nucleotides) under uncultured bacterium. Its description in RNAcentral is "partial 16S ribosomal RNA". It matches the Rfam family "Bacterial small subunit ribosomal RNA", at positions 338 to 701 of the family's 1533-position model. The record is from RNAcentral.